RNAcentral lists this microRNA precursor (109 nucleotides) under Jaculus jaculus (lesser Egyptian jerboa). Its description in RNAcentral is "miRNA (ENSJJAG00000004590.1)". The record is from RNAcentral. Lineage: Eukaryota; Metazoa; Chordata; Mammalia; Rodentia; Dipodidae.
GCCACAGCCGGGGCUUACAUUGCUUCUCAGACGGUGAAAAAAGUCAUCGAAAUCAACCCUUACCUUCUGGGCACCAUGGCUGGGGGUGCAGCAGACUGCAGCUUCUGGG